GCUCCUGUUGUCUAAUGGAUAAAAUGUUGGCUUCUGGAGUCAAAGAUUGUGGAUUCAAAUGUCACCAGGGACG
Molecule: transfer RNA, 73 nt
Filed under: Stegodyphus mimosarum
Lineage: Eukaryota; Metazoa; Arthropoda; Arachnida; Araneae; Eresidae
Rfam family: tRNA
About the family: Transfer RNA (tRNA) molecules are approximately 80 nucleotides in length. Their secondary structure includes four short double-helical elements and three loops (D, anti-codon, and T loops).
Source: Rfam by way of RNAcentral